UUUUCUUUUAAAUUAGUUUUAUUUAAAAAUUUUCUUGAUUCUUUUCGAUUAACUAUAUUCAUCUCUUCUCCAUCUAUAUAAGAGGGUUAUUGGUAGAGUUUUUUCAAUCAACUGAGAGAAGUAAUAUUUUUAGAUAUCUCUAAAUAAUUAAUUUGGGCAAAUGGCCAGCAGCAUAGUCAACGAUGAAGACGACGAUAACACAUAUUCAUAUAUUUUUCUAAGAAUAAUGACAGUCGUAUCAAAAUCAAAUCAAGGAAAUACCAAAGGAACUCAUGGUAGAAUAGGCAAAUGAACCUAAUGUUCACAAUGUUUGCUUCAAUCCCCUCAGAAAGAAGUCGCUGUGAAGCUUGCAAAGAAAUAGAGGAUAGAAGAUGAAAGAGUGGGGAAACCUGGUUUAAGGGUAUUUACAAUGGAGAAAAAACACUUCCCCGAGAUCAGAAAGAGUGGAUCAACUCUUGAUCAAGGUUUUGCCACACACCAACUCUUCUGCCCUUCCUUUAUUUCAAACAAACUAUAUGAGCACUCAUAACUCAUAUUCAUAUGCUAUUUAGUCUACUAAAAUAAGAAUUAUAAACAGAAAGUUACAAAUAUCAAGUCUUCAAAGAAACAUAAGGACUCACAGUUGCAUCAUCAAGCAAAGAUUUUUCUGAAUCCAGAAGGUGGAACUUAUAAGAAAUGAGUAAUAGUCAAGAAGAUCAAGAUUAAACAUCAAGUGAGGCGAGAUUGAGAAGUUUAAAUGAAACACUAACAAGGACUCUUUGGACAAAGCUCUGACUGCUUUAAAAUGUCUUAUAAAUCUACAAAUUGGAAUAAAUAUGUAGAGAAUAUGAAGGUUGAAGAUUAUUUUCUUCGGUCAUUUACAUGUAUGAACUUUUUAAAUAUAGAUUUGGAGUGAUUUACUAAAAUAUAUUUGAACAUCUUCAUGGUAGUAUUAUGAUAUAGUGUUCAUGUCAAUGUGAUUUUCUACUCGAUAAUAAUUUUAGUCUUCUGAACUAUUAUGGAGUUACAACAUAAUAGUAAUUCAUUAUGUAAUAUUUUUUUAAUUUGUAAAAGGGUUAGGA
Molecule: long non-coding RNA, 1061 nt
Organism: Vigna unguiculata (cowpea)
Lineage: Eukaryota; Viridiplantae; Streptophyta; Magnoliopsida; Fabales; Fabaceae
Source: RefSeq, a predicted model, not a curated record